UACGUAGGGGGCAAGCGUUGUCCGGAAUUAUUGGGCGUAAAGAGCGCGUAGGCGGUCCGAUAAGUCGGCUGUGAAAGUCAGGGGCUCAACCCUUGAAAGCCGGCCGAUACUGUCGGAGUAGAGUCCGGAAGAGGCAAGUGGAAUUCCCGGUGUAGCGGUGAAAUGCGCAGAUAUCGGGAGGAACACCAAUGGCGAAGGCAGCUUGCUGGGACGGUACUGACGCUGAGGCGCGAAAGCGUGGGGAGCAAACAGG
RNAcentral lists this ribosomal RNA (253 nucleotides) under uncultured bacterium. RNAcentral's name for it is "partial 16S ribosomal RNA". It matches the Rfam family "Bacterial small subunit ribosomal RNA", at positions 524 to 776 of the family's 1533-position model. The record is from RNAcentral.